Molecule: long non-coding RNA, 2119 nt
Organism: Oncorhynchus tshawytscha (Chinook salmon)
Lineage: Eukaryota; Metazoa; Chordata; Actinopteri; Salmoniformes; Salmonidae
Source: Ensembl
ACCAAAGGGGGAUAUGCUGUGAAGCCUGUGAAGACAGAUCAAGUGAAGACAGACCAAAGACCAAAGAAGGGGGAUAUGCUGUGAAGCCUGUGAAGACAGAUCAAGUGAAGACAGAAAAAGAAGGGGGAUAUGCUGUGAAGCCUGUGAAGACAGAUCAAGUGAAGACAGACCAAAGAAGGGGGGAUAUGCUACAGAUCAAGUGAAGACAGACCAAAGAAGGGGGGAUAUGCUGUAAAGCCUGUGAAGACAGAUCAAGUGAAGACAGACCAAAGAAGGGGGGAUAUGCUGUGAAGCCUGUGAAGACAGAUCAAGUGAAGACAGACCAAAGAAGGGGGGAUAUGCUGUGAAGCCUGUGAAGACAGAUCAAGUGAAGACAGACCAAAGAAGGGGGGAUAUGCUGUGAAGCCUGUGAAGACAGACCCAACCAAAACUGCUACAUAGACAGGCUCCUGGAUCUCCUCUUCAGCAAGGUCACCCUUGAUCCAGUGCCUUAUGUGGGGAAGAUGUGCGAGCUGUCCAUCCCAGAACCCAUCUGCCCAGUGUGAGAGGCCUGACAAGGAGGAGGCCAUAUCUGGAUUUGUCUCCAGCUUCAAUCUUCGGGGUGUCUGAAGUCAAGUGGGUGACUGAAGCCUGCUUUAUUGAAGCAGGGUACAUGGUCCCCCUCCUCUCCCGAUCCCGUCCCAUCAAUCUCUGUAGUUGGUUGCAUUUCCCAAAGCCUAAGUAAUUUACUUUUACAUGAUAUGAUAUCACAUUUUCUUUUACAAAGUUUUUUCUAACAUUUGGACGAGAGAUGAGAGUUACAAAUUGUAAGACUCAAUGGGGUCCUGCACACUGUAGGGCAGCAGGGUGCCUAUAUUGCGGCUUAUGGCUCUAUUUGAUUUUUUUUUAAAUGUCAAAUGAUGUCUCACCAUUAUUUCUUAACUUUAUUUCUCAUGAAUGUCCAUGUUGAUCAAUAUUUCAGAUAUGCUUGCCUCAUGUAAAUUAACAAAUAAAUGUCUGAUCAAUACAUACAAUUCUGAACAUAUUGUCAUUUAUAAUGCUAAUGCAGAGGCACCAAUCAAUUGUCCAGUACACUUAUUGUAUGCUGUUUUCAUGUACAUUCCCUUAUGUCUACGCUUCGGGGACUCAGACUUGACUAAUUCUGCUGAAGAAGUGUAUCAGUGAACAGUAUUCUGUAAUUAGAUACAAAACAAUAGAAAUGCAAUUGUGUAUUGCUGCUGUUUGACUGAUAUCUAACAGUCCAUUAUCAGCUCUUUUGAGAACAUUUUGUAGAGAAAAUGGGUUGAGGAAUACUAUUUAGGGUCAGAAUGACAUGUGGCCCAUUGCUUACCUGGUCAUCAUUGACAUGUGACCCAUUGUUUACCUUGUUUACCUUGUUACCUGGCAACGACCACAAGGGUGUUUCAAAGAGCUGUCAUUCAAGGCGAGCACAUGAUAUAAGCUCCCCGCCCACUCAGCCUGUUCUUUCAGGCUUCCUGAUAGUUAGAAAUGGGAGAAAGGGUACAAUUUCUUCAAUUCUGAGCAUUUUAAUAAUGUAAAAAUGUUAUGGGUGAUGUUUCGGUCAUUCAAAUUUUUACUUGAGAAAUCGGAUGACUGUGCGGGACCUUUAAAACAAUAAGACAAAAUAAUACAAUUCCACAUGGACAAUGCAGAAUAGGGUCCUAUUGUGCAUGGUGGUCCCAUAGAUCUGGUAAAGAGGUCAAUCGAUCUUGAACAAAACAAUGGAAUUGCCAUGGAAACGCGUGGGGGAAAGGGCUCCUCAUUGCCCCCCAGCAAAAUUAGCCUACAUUUAGGCUAUUGUUUGUAUGUGUAUUUCACACUAUGUUGGGGUAAACAUCGGAGUAUAAUACUUGUAUAGAUGCCAACCCCAACACGACGCUAAAUUGUAAUUAUUUCGCCUCUAUGGCCUAUUUAUUGCCUUACCUCCCUAAUCUUACUACAUUUGCACACACUGUACAUAUAUUUUUCUAUUGUGUUAUUGACUGUAUGUUUGUUAAUUCCACGUGUAACUCUGUUAAUGUUUGUGUGGCACUGCUUUGCUUUAUCUUGGCCAGGUCGUAGUUGUAAAUGAGAACUUGUUCUCAUCUGGCCUACCUGGUUAAAUAAAGGUGAAAUAAAA